GUGGGGAAUAUUGCGCAAUGGACGAAAGUCUGACGCAGCGACGCCGCGUGUGGGAUGACGGUCUUCGGAUUGUAAACCACUGUCGGGAGGGACGAAUACGCCGCAAGGCGGGUGACGGUACCUCCAAAGGAAGCACCGGCUAACUCCGUGCCAGCAGCCGCGGUAAUACGGAGGGUGCGAGCGUUGUCCGGAAUCACUGGGCGUAAAGGGCGCGUAGGCGGCCUGAUAAGUAGGGGGUGAAAUCCUGCGGCUUAACCGCAGGGCUGCCUUCUAAACUGUCAGGCUUGAGCACAGUAGAGGCAGGUGGAAUUCCCGGUGUAGCGGUGGAAUGCGUAGAGAUCGGGAAGAACAUCAGUGGCGAAGGCGGCCUGCUGGGCUGUUGCUGACGCUGAGGCGCGACAGCGUGGGGAGCAAACAGGAUUAGAAACCCGUGUAGUCC
RNAcentral lists this ribosomal RNA (439 nucleotides) under uncultured bacterium. Its description in RNAcentral is "bacterial SSU rRNA". It matches the Rfam family "Bacterial small subunit ribosomal RNA", at positions 354 to 796 of the family's 1533-position model. The record is from RNAcentral.